UCUGGUGCUCGAUGCUUAAGUGGAACCACUCCAAUCCAUCCCGAACUUGGCUGUGAAACGCUUAAGAAGUUCACCGACUUGUCGGAAGUCUGACAGGAAAAACGAACUUAGUGCCAGG
Molecule: ribosomal RNA, 118 nt
Filed under: Raphidocelis subcapitata
Lineage: Eukaryota; Viridiplantae; Chlorophyta; Chlorophyceae; Sphaeropleales; Selenastraceae
Source: RNAcentral